This 494-nucleotide ribosomal RNA is filed under the name uncultured bacterium. RNAcentral describes it as "partial 16S ribosomal RNA". It matches the Rfam family "Bacterial small subunit ribosomal RNA", at positions 28 to 507 of the family's 1533-position model. The record is from RNAcentral.
GACGAACGCUGGCGGCGUGCUUAACACAUGCAAGUCGAACGGUGAAGCGCCUUCCUUUUUGGUGGGUGUGGAUGAGUGGCGAACGGGUGAGUAACACGUGAGUAACCUGCCCCCUUCUUCUGGAUAACCGCAUGAAAGUGUGGCUAAUACGGGAUAUUCUGGGUCUGUCGCAUGAUGGGUCUGGGAAAGAUAUUGUUUCGGUGGGGGAUGGGCUCGCGGCCUAUCAGCUUGUUGGUGGGGUGAUGGCCUACCAAGGCGGUGACGGGUAGCCGGCCUGAGAGGGUGGACGGUCACACUGGGACUGAGACACGGCCCAGACUCCUACGGGAGGCAGCAGUGGGGAAUAUUGCACAAUGGGCGCAAGCCUGAUGCAGCGACGCCGCGUGAGGGAUGGAGGCCUUCGGGUCGUGAACCUCUUUCGCCAGUGAAGCAGGCCUGCCUCGUUUGUGGGUGGGUUGACGGUAGCUGGAUAAGAGGCGCCGGCUAACUACGUG